RNAcentral lists this transfer RNA (72 nucleotides) under Podarcis lilfordi (Lilford's wall lizard). Its description in RNAcentral is "tRNA.Ile". The stretch from base 4 to 62 matches the Rfam family "tRNA", at positions 8 to 63 of the family's 71-position model. Rfam says of the family: Transfer RNA (tRNA) molecules are approximately 80 nucleotides in length. The record is from RNAcentral. Lineage: Eukaryota; Metazoa; Chordata; Lepidosauria; Squamata; Lacertidae.
GGAUAGCUCAGUUGGUUAGAGCGUGGUGCUGAUAACACCAAGGUUGCAGGUUCAAUCCCCAUGUGAUGGCCU